This 439-nucleotide ribosomal RNA is filed under the name uncultured bacterium. RNAcentral's name for it is "partial 16S ribosomal RNA". It matches the Rfam family "Bacterial small subunit ribosomal RNA", at positions 339 to 795 of the family's 1533-position model. The record is from RNAcentral.
CUACGGGGUGCUCCAGUGAGGAAUAUUGCACAAUGGGGGGAACCCUGAUGCAGCAACGCCGCGUGGAGGAUGACGCAUUUCGGUGUGUAAACUCCUUUUAUAUGUCAAGAAAAUGACGGUAGCAUAUGAAUAAGCACCGGCUAACUCCGUGCCAGCAGCCGCGGUAAUACGGGGGGUGCAAGCGUUACUCGGAAUCACUGGGCGUAAAGGACGCGUAGGCGGGUUGGAAAGUCAGGUGUGAAAUCCUACAGCUUAACUGUAGAACUGCACUUGAAACUUCUAAUCUAGAGUAUGGGAGGGGGAGAUGGAAUUAGUGGUGUAGGGGUAAAAUCCGUAGAUAUCACUAGGAAUACCGAAAGCGAAGGCGAUCUCCUGGAACAUUACUGACGCUAAGGCGUGAAAGCGUGGGGAGCAAACAUGAUUAGAUACCCUCGUAGUC